CAGGCCGUGAUGCAACCAGUGUGAACGGGGCUCUCCGAACAUGGCCGCCGCACCGCGCCCUACUCACCUCGUCGCCUCACCGGGCUGGCCGAUCCGCGCCGCCCCACCGACCAUCCGCCCACCGGGGCCUCCCACGCAUCGCCCGCCGACCCCGACUCUACUGCCCGCGGACUCCUACCAUCGGGUCCGCCGACCCUCGCCACUCCACUGCCCUCGAGCAACCCGCAGCCGUCGCCUUACCUGCAAACUGGACUCUGCACUGGGCCUGAAGCCUCCACGCUGCU
Amblyraja radiata (thorny skate) is the source of this 284-nucleotide long non-coding RNA. RefSeq lists it as uncharacterized. The transcript is spliced from 3 exons. The record is from RefSeq and is a predicted model, not a curated record. Lineage: Eukaryota; Metazoa; Chordata; Chondrichthyes; Rajiformes; Rajidae.